GACGAACGCUGGCGGCGCGCCUAACACAUGCAAGUCGAACGGAGCUGAGAGAAGCUUGCUUUUCUUAGCUUAGUGGCGAACGGGUGAGUAACGCGUGAGUAACCUGCCCUGGAGUGGGGGACAACAGUUGGAAACGACUGCUAAUACCGCAUAAGCCCACGAUCCGGCAUCGGAUUGAGGGAAAAGGAUUUAUUCGCUUCAGGAUGGACUCGCGUCCAAUUAGCUAGUUGGUGAGGUAACGGCCCACCAAGGCGACGAUUGGUAGCCGGACUGAGAGGUUGAACGGCCACAUUGGGACUGAGACACGGCCCAGACUCCUACGGGAGGCAGCAGUGGGGGAUAUUGCACAAUGGGGGAAACCCUGAUGCAGCGACGCCGCGUGGAGGAAGAAGGUUUUCGGAUAGUAAACUCCUGUCGUUAGGGACGAUAAUGACGGUACCUAACAAGAAAGCACCGGCUAACUACGUG
Molecule: ribosomal RNA, 468 nt
Filed under: uncultured bacterium
Lineage: Bacteria
Description: partial 16S ribosomal RNA
Rfam family: Bacterial small subunit ribosomal RNA
Source: RNAcentral